AAUCAACGCUGGCGGCGUGCCUAACACAUGCAAGUCGCACGAGAAAGGGACUUCGGUCCUGAGUAAAGUGGCGCACGGGUGAGUAACACGUGAAUUAUCUACCUCCGAGUGGGGAAUAACUGAGAGAAAUCUUAGCUAAUACCGCAUAACACUUACGAGUCAAAGCAGCAAUGCGCUUGGAGAGGAGUUCGCGGCCGAUUAGUUAGUUGGCGGGGUAAUGGCCCACCAAGACGAUGAUCGGUAUCCGGCCUGAGAGGGCGCACGGACACACUGGAACUGAAACACGGUCCAGACUCCUACGGGAGGCAGCAGUGGGGAAUUUUGCGCAAUGGGGGAAACCCUGACGCAGCAACGCCGCGUGGAGGAUGAAGUAUCUCGGUACGUAAACUCCUUUCGAUGGGGAAGAUAAUGACGGUACCCAUAGAAGAAGCCCCGGCUAACUUCGUGCCAGCAGCCGCGGUAAUACGAGGGGGGCAAGCGUUGUUCGGAUUUAUUGGGCGUAAAGGGUGCGUAGGCGGUUUGGCAAGUCUUGUGUGAAAUCUAUGGGCUCAACCCAUAGCCUGCACGAGAAACUACCG
Molecule: ribosomal RNA, 578 nt
Filed under: uncultured bacterium
Lineage: Bacteria
Description: bacterial SSU rRNA
Rfam family: Bacterial small subunit ribosomal RNA
Source: RNAcentral